GUCGCGCAAUGGUAGCGCGUCUGACCUUUCAUCAGAAGGCUAUAGGUUCGAGUCCCAUCUUG
Molecule: transfer RNA, 62 nt
Filed under: Proboscia alata
Lineage: Eukaryota; Bacillariophyta; Melosirophyceae; Probosciales; Probosciaceae
Rfam family: tRNA
About the family: Transfer RNA (tRNA) molecules are approximately 80 nucleotides in length. Their secondary structure includes four short double-helical elements and three loops (D, anti-codon, and T loops). Further hydrogen bonds mediate the characteristic L-shaped molecular structure. tRNAs have two regions of fundamental functional importance: the anti-codon, which is responsible for specific mRNA codon recognition, and the 3' end, to which the tRNAs corresponding amino acid is attached (by aminoacyl-tRNA synthetases). tRNAs cope with the degeneracy of the genetic code in two manners: having more than one tRNA (with a specific anti-codon) for a particular amino acid; and 'wobble' base-pairing, i.e. permitting non-standard base-pairing at the 3rd anti-codon position.
Source: RNAcentral